RNAcentral lists this ribosomal RNA (468 nucleotides) under uncultured bacterium. RNAcentral's name for it is "partial 16S ribosomal RNA". It matches the Rfam family "Bacterial small subunit ribosomal RNA", at positions 28 to 507 of the family's 1533-position model. The record is from RNAcentral.
GACGAACGCUGGCGGCGUGCUUAACACAUGCAAGUCGAACGGAAAGGCCCUGCUUUUGUGGGGUGCUCGAGUGGCGAACGGGUGAGUAACACGUGAGUAACCUGCCCUUGACUUUGGGAUAACUUCAGGAAACUGGGGCUAAUACCGGAUAGGAGCUCCUGCUGCAUGGUGGGGGUUGGAAAGUUUCGGCGGUUGGGGAUGGACUCGCGGCUUAUCAGCUUGUUGGUUGGGUAGUGGCUUACCAAGGCUUUGACGGGUAGCCGGCCUGAGAGGGUGACCGGCCACAUUGGGACUGAGAUACGGCCCAGACUCCUACGGGAGGCAGCAGUGGGGAAUAUUGCACAAUGGGCGGAAGCCUGAUGCAGCAACGCAGCGUGCGGGAUGACGGCCUUCGGGUUGUAAACCGCUUUCGCCUGUGACGAAGCGUGAGUGACGGUAAUGGGUAAAGAAGCACCGGCUAACUACGUG